RNAcentral lists this long non-coding RNA (292 nucleotides) under Helianthus annuus (common sunflower). RNAcentral's name for it is "sRNA HanXRQr2_Chr05g0218381". The record is from RNAcentral. Lineage: Eukaryota; Viridiplantae; Streptophyta; Magnoliopsida; Asterales; Asteraceae.
UUUUUGGUGUCGACGUCUUUCUGAAAUCGAUGGCCGAACGCAACAGUAAUGGUGCUCCCGAGAUGUGAGUCAGACCAUAAUCCUAUCACAGUGUCGACAUCGGCCAAUUAGUCUAAUUGGGUGUAUUUUCAAGAUAAUUUCAAGGGUCUUGGCAAAUUGACUUAAAGGGGUGAUGGGGUCAAUUGUAUCGGAAUGCCAACGGGGUUUUUAUCUAACCGAAAUAUUUUAGAUGGACCAUUAAUUUUGAACGAAGUGAUCGCGUGGGCGAAAAAAAUCAAAAAAGAAAGCUUUU